Molecule: long non-coding RNA, 293 nt
Filed under: Arachis ipaensis
Lineage: Eukaryota; Viridiplantae; Streptophyta; Magnoliopsida; Fabales; Fabaceae
Description: long non-coding RNA (AIPA_LNC001865)
Source: RNAcentral
GGGCGAGGCGGAGGCAGGGUGCGGCGGCGGCGGAGGCGUGGCGCGUCGGCGGAAGUAGGUGGCGGAAAUUUGCAGCAGAGGAAGGGUAUGAGAAUGGCAGGGAUUGCAGUUGUCUGAAAACCCUAACUGCUUCUCUUCUCUGAAAUGCCCCUGAAUCUGAAAUAAGAAAAAGAACGGGGAUGGCAAAAUUAGGGUUUUUUAAGAACUCUAAGGAGAGUGGAGAGUGAGGGCAGAGUUAGGGAAGGAAAGAAAGGCUUCAACCUGGUUGAUGCUCUCCAAAAAUCAGUAAUCUC